GACGAACGCUGGCGGCGUGCUUAACACAUGCAAGUCGAACGGAAAGGCCCUGCUUUUGUGGGGUGCUCGAGUGGCGAACGGGUGAGUAACACGUGAGUAACCUGCCCUUGACUUUGGGAUAACUUCAGGAAACUGGGGCUAAUACCGGAUAGGAGCUCCUGCUGCAUGGUGGGGGUUGGAAAGUUUCGGCGGUUGGGGAUGGACUCGCGGCUUAUCAGCUUGUUGGUGGGGUAGUGGCUUACCAAGGCUUUGACGGGUAGCCGGCCUGAGAGGGUGACCGGCCACAUUGGGACUGAGAUACGGACCAGACUCCUAUGGGAGGCAGCAGUGGGGAAUAUUGCACAAUGGGCGGAAGCCUGAUGCAGCAACGCCGCGUGCGGGAUGACGGCCUUCGGGUUGUAAACCGCUUUCGCCUGUGACGAAGCGUGAGUGACGGUAAUGGGUAAAGAAGCACCGGCUAACUACGUG
RNAcentral lists this ribosomal RNA (468 nucleotides) under uncultured bacterium. Its description in RNAcentral is "partial 16S ribosomal RNA". It matches the Rfam family "Bacterial small subunit ribosomal RNA", at positions 28 to 507 of the family's 1533-position model. The record is from RNAcentral.